RNAcentral lists this ribosomal RNA (253 nucleotides) under uncultured bacterium. RNAcentral's name for it is "partial 16S ribosomal RNA". It matches the Rfam family "Bacterial small subunit ribosomal RNA", at positions 524 to 776 of the family's 1533-position model. The record is from RNAcentral.
UACGAAGGGAGCUAGCGUUGUUCGGAAUCACUGGGCGUAAAGCGCACGUAGGCGGAUGUGUCAGUCAGGGGUGAAAUCCCGGAGCUCAACUUCGGAACUGCCUUUGAUACAGCACGUCUUGAGUCCGGAAGAGGUGGGUGGAAUUCCUAGUGUAGAGGUGAAAUUCGUAGAUAUUAGGAAGAACACCGGUGGCGAAGGCGGCUCUCUGGGACGUGACUGACGCUGAGACGCGAAAGCGUGGGGAGCGAACAGG